GUGGAUGUAGCUCAGCAGGUAGAGCUCCAGAUUGUGGCUCCGGAGGUCGCGGGUUCGAGUCCCGUCAUCCACCCCA
Molecule: transfer RNA, 76 nt
Filed under: Asanoa iriomotensis
Lineage: Bacteria; Bacillati; Actinomycetota; Actinomycetes; Micromonosporales; Micromonosporaceae
Description: tRNA-His
Rfam family: tRNA
About the family: Transfer RNA (tRNA) molecules are approximately 80 nucleotides in length. Their secondary structure includes four short double-helical elements and three loops (D, anti-codon, and T loops).
Source: RNAcentral